This 65-nucleotide transfer RNA is filed under the name Dipodomys ordii (Ord's kangaroo rat). It matches the Rfam family "tRNA". From Rfam's summary of the family: Transfer RNA (tRNA) molecules are approximately 80 nucleotides in length. Their secondary structure includes four short double-helical elements and three loops (D, anti-codon, and T loops). The record is from Rfam by way of RNAcentral. Lineage: Eukaryota; Metazoa; Chordata; Mammalia; Rodentia; Heteromyidae.
GGUGGCUCAGUAGUAGAGCUCUUGCCUUGCAUGCAUGAGGCCUUGGGUUCGAUUCCUCAGCACCA